Molecule: ribosomal RNA, 433 nt
Filed under: uncultured bacterium
Lineage: Bacteria
Description: partial 16S ribosomal RNA
Rfam family: Bacterial small subunit ribosomal RNA
Source: RNAcentral
AACGAACGCUGGCGGCAGGCUUAACACAUGCAAGUCGAGCGAGACCUUCGGGUCUAGCGGCGGACGGGUGAGUAACGCGUGGGAACGUGCCCUUCUCUACGGAAUAGCCCCGGGAAACUGGGAGUAAUACCGUAUACGCCCUUUGGGGGAAAGAUUUAUCGGAGAAGGAUCGGCCCGCGUUGGAUUAGGUAGUUGGUGGGGUAAUGGCCCACCAAGCCGACGAUCCAUAGCUGGUUUGAGAGGAUGAUCAGCCACACUGGGACUGAGACACGGCCCAGACUCCUACGGGAGGCAGCAGUGGGGAAUCUUAGACAAUGGGGGCAACCCUGAUCUAGCCAUGCCGCGUGAGUGAUGAAGGCCUUAGGGUUGUAAAGCUCUUUCAGCUGGGAAGAUAAUGGCGGUACCAGCAGAAGAAGCCCCGGCUAACUCCGUG